RNAcentral lists this ribosomal RNA (442 nucleotides) under uncultured bacterium. RNAcentral's name for it is "bacterial SSU rRNA". It matches the Rfam family "Bacterial small subunit ribosomal RNA", at positions 339 to 796 of the family's 1533-position model. The record is from RNAcentral.
CUACGGGAGGCAGCAGUCGAGAAUCUUCGGCAAUGGGGGAAACCCUGACCGAGCGACGCCGCGUGCGGGAUGACGGCCUUCGGGUUGUAAACCGCUGUCGGGGGGGACGAAGCUCUGACGGUACCCCCAAAGGAAGCACCGGCUAACUCUGUGCCAGCAGCCGCGGUAAUACAGAGGGUGCGAGCGUUGUCCAGAAUUACUGGGCGUAAAGGGCGCGUAGGCGGCUCGGUAAGUAGGGGGUGAAAUUCCACGGCUCAACCGUGGAACGGCCUUCUAGACUGCCGGACUUGAGCAUGGUAGAGGCAGAUGGAACUCCCGGUGUAGCGGUGGAAUGCGUAGAGAUCGGGAAGAACACCAGUGGCGAAGGCGGUCUGCUGGGCCAUAGCUGACGCUGAGGCGCGAUAGCGUGGGGAGCAAACAGGAUUAGAAACCCCAGUAGUCC